Long non-coding RNA from Mirounga angustirostris (Northern elephant seal), 388 nucleotides. RefSeq lists it as uncharacterized. The transcript has 4 exons. The record is from RefSeq and is a predicted model, not a curated record. Lineage: Eukaryota; Metazoa; Chordata; Mammalia; Carnivora; Phocidae.
AGAUGCUGGAAGAUGCUCAGACACAGGAGGACACCCGUUCAGGAUUGCGGAGCGGGUAACUGCAGAGCCGAGGCCCACAUUUUCUCACCUUCAUAGUCUCACCUUGGCUGAGGAGCUCAAUGAAGAAUGAGGAACUCAUGAACAACCUGAGAGGACUUAUUUCUGAGUAAACCAUCUUGGGGAUGUACCUCCCUUGGAGAAGCCCCCAGGACUCCCAGAAGCAGCUCUUGGAGAGUGAAUGGUGAAGACUGAACAACCGGACAGGAAAACCCUUCAAACAGUCUUGAACUUAUGGAAAAGUUGGAAGUGCUGUGCAGAAUACUUCUGUUUUCCUGAACCAUCUGAGGGUCAUGCACAGGCAUAUGCUUAAGACUCGGCAAAGAUCUCC